RNAcentral lists this ribosomal RNA (436 nucleotides) under Karenia brevis. RNAcentral describes it as "partial Eukaryotic large subunit ribosomal RNA". It matches the Rfam family "Eukaryotic large subunit ribosomal RNA", at positions 1479 to 1917 of the family's 3401-position model. Lineage: Eukaryota; Dinophyceae; Gymnodiniales; Kareniaceae. The record is from RNAcentral.
GAACUUUGAAGACUGAAGUGGGGAAGGGUUCCAUGUGAACAGUAAAUGGACAUGGGUUAGUCGUUCCUAAGGUUCAAGGGAAAGUCUAUGCAGUUUGGCAUUGCCUUGUGAUCCGAAAGGGGAUGGGGUUAACAUUCCUCAACCUGAGCAUGGGUAUUUGUAUGGUAACAUGAAGGAAGUUGGUGACACAGGCACGAGUCCUUGGAAGUGUUGUCUUUGCUUCUUAACCUUCAAGCACCCUGGAAUCAGUUUCGCUGGAGAGAGGGUUUAUUGAAGGGCAGAGUGUCCCAACCUUCGGGAUGCUUGGUGCGCUCGUGUCUGUCCUUGAAAAACCAACCGACAGUUUUAUCUCACCUCAGUGCGUACCCACAACCGCAUCAGGUCUCCAAGGUGAGCAGCCUCUGGUAAAUAGAAUAAAGUAGGUAAGGGAAGUCGG